RNAcentral lists this long non-coding RNA (1594 nucleotides) under Gossypium barbadense (sea-island cotton). RNAcentral describes it as "long non-coding RNA (GBAR_LNC016092)". Lineage: Eukaryota; Viridiplantae; Streptophyta; Magnoliopsida; Malvales; Malvaceae. The record is from RNAcentral.
CACCAGCAAAAUUAAACCCAUAACCCACUUCAUUAAUUUUAGUAAACACAAAAGGAUUAGAAACCCUAGACUGCGAUAGUUGAUAUCCAAAAGUUUGAGAUGAUGGCCAUUCUCCCCACGAAGUGCCACUAGGAAACUGUGCCAGAGCAGUCUCCGCAGGCUGCCCAAGUCCACCGAAACUAACAGAUCAGCUAGAGAAAUCACCAUGCAACUCCUGUCCAGCAUGAGUAGAGGAAAAUCACGUCGUGGUUGAAGCAUUUAGGCCGUUGUAGUCAUGAUUGAACCGGUAGAAGCAACACUACGCCAAACGACCAUAACGACCACAUAUCUGACACUGUGUCCGAGGACGAAACCCACGCCCACGUGAACUAGAUGUGGAACGACCACCACAAUCCAAUUCGGUUAAUGUCGUAAUUGAAGCCUCAACCAUGUGAGCAUGCAUCGGCACAUCACGCACCAUUCUUGUCUGACGGAUUUCAAACUCCAAUAAGACAUCAACAAUUUUUUGGAACGGACAGGUCUCCGAUGAGAAAGAGGCCAGAGUUAGGACCGCAUCAAAAUCAGACGAGAGACCAGCAAAAAUCACCUUCACCUUUUGGCCUCCAAGACGUUAGAUCCAAAAAUUUCAAGCAAUGCACAGGUAUUCUGGAUUUUUGCAAUAUAUUCUUUAAUAGUUAACUCACCUUUCUUGAUGAAGUGCAGGUCAUGUUUAAUAUGUGACAUUUUAGCACCGAUAGAGGCAACAAAUAAACGAUUUGCAGUGCUCCAGACAUCAUACGCUUUAGCAGCUGUAAAGCAAGACAAUAAGGAAGCACUAAUAGUAGAGAGUAACCAAGAUGCUAGUAGCUUAUCUUGUUGAAGAAACAAGGACACAUCAGGAUUUGGAGUCAGAACACCAUCCGGAGACGCCACAAGUCUAGGCGGAGCAGGAAACGUGCUUUCUAAAAAACCUUGCAACUCAUAUCCUUCUAUGAUUAAUCUAAUAUGUUGCUGCCAUUGCACAAAGUUUCCGUCAUCUAAUUUCACUGUGUCGUGACGAAGGAAUGACCGAAUCAAACGCGAGCUGGAAAAAGACAGACUAGAAUGAUCAACGGAAGUGGAAUCUGUUGAAUGAGCCAUGAAUCGGUAGCGGAAGCAGACACCAGGAGGUUAGGUGACUAAUACCAUGUUAGAUACUAUACUAAUACACUAAAACAAAGAACAAAAUGAGAAUGAUGAAUUUAUUGAGAAAAUUUAUUUGUAUUCUUUAUCUGCUUGAAUCAAUACACUGCUGAUGUUUAUAUACUUGAAUAUGAGUAACUGCUCCAAACCAACUACAUACCAGACUAAUUAACUGAAUGAUAAUAGACUAACAAUCUCUAUAUUAACAAUCUUUAUACUCUAACACACUCUCACCUUGGCAUUUCAUUUCAAUAAUUUUCUAGUAGAUUAUGUACAUUUCAUAUUGGAAAAUGAUACUAUAAGUUUAAUACGGAUAUCUUAUAUUAUGUACGAAAAAUUAUCUGACGAUAAUUAAAGAAAUUGCUUCAUAAUGAUUCCUUGAUCAUCAUACUAUUAUUCUCAAUCCAAGCAUUAAAGAACAAUUUUUUUUUUC